GGCUACCUGGCGCAAUGGUAGCGCGUUUGGCUUCGAUCGCCCAACGGCUGCUUGAGUAGUUGGAUUCUAACCAAAAGGCUGCAGGUUCGAGUCCUGCGGUGGUCA
This is a non-coding RNA of Trametes elegans, 105 nucleotides long. The record is from the annotation of a GenBank genome assembly. Lineage: Eukaryota; Fungi; Basidiomycota; Agaricomycetes; Polyporales; Polyporaceae.